UGACGGUAUUUCGAACCCACCUAGAGGAGCCUGUCCUAUAAUCGACAAUACACGAUCCACCCAACCACCUUUUGCCCUAAGCAGCCUGUAUACCGCCGUCGCAAGCUUAGCCCAUGAGGGACAAGCACUCAGCACAAUAACUCGCUCCUGAGCUAGAACGUCAGGUCAAGGUGCAGCCGAUAAGGUGGCAGAGAUUGGCUACAUUUUCUACACUAUAGAAAUGGGUCACGGAGAGGCCUGUGAAACCAGGACUGUCAAAGACGGAUUUAGCAGUAAAUUAGGAGAAGAGUGCCUAAUUGAAGAUGGCCCCGAAAUAUGUACACACCGCCCGUCACCCUCCUCGAAUUAAACCAGAUUUUGCUACAUAACGCACAUAGAACCCGAUGAGAUGAGGAAAGUCGUAACAAGGUAAGCGUACCGGAAGGUGUGCUUGGAACAUCAAAAUGUAGCUUAAACCAAAGCAUUCUGCUUACACCUGAAACAUGUUUACUUAAAUAAACCAUUUUGAUUAACCCGCUCUAGCCCUAAAAAUUAACCAA
RNAcentral lists this ribosomal RNA (539 nucleotides) under Crocodylus mindorensis (Philippine crocodile). RNAcentral describes it as "partial 12S ribosomal RNA". The stretch from base 1 to 446 matches the Rfam family "Bacterial small subunit ribosomal RNA", at positions 911 to 1533 of the family's 1533-position model. Lineage: Eukaryota; Metazoa; Chordata; Crocodylia; Crocodylidae. The record is from RNAcentral.